Molecule: long non-coding RNA, 5406 nt
Organism: Cairina moschata (Muscovy duck)
Lineage: Eukaryota; Metazoa; Chordata; Aves; Anseriformes; Anatidae
Source: Ensembl
UCUGACCCUCCACUCCUGCUACUGUUGUUGAUAUUGCUGCUGACUCUCUGUUGUCAUGAUUGAUGUUUUGCUGACAGGCAUAUAAAUCAUGUCUGUUCAUAAUGGUUAAUGUCAGUAUUUGCAUGUAUUAGGCAUGUUCUUGCUCUAAAACACUUAGCACCAUGUGUGAUGCAUUCAUUCUGAUACCUUGGGGUUUUGUAGGGAGGGGAUGGGAAUUUGCAGUUUAUAGAUAUUACUGUUUGGGUAGUGGGGAGAAAAGAGGCUAUUGUUAGAAAACCAUUCAGAUGAAAAGGGAUGAACCUUGCAGCUGCAGCACAAUUCACUCAGACUACAAGACCCUACAGGAUAUAUUGUCUGGCCGACAGUAUAUCGGCAGCUGCAAAAUAAGAUGUAGUUAUAGUAUCACUGGAUUUUGAAGCUUACAGUUGUCUGUGAGUGAGAAAGAAAGAUGUUCCUCGGACCCAAUGGCUUUAUUUCCCCCCCCCACACACACCACCUUUUGUGAAUACCUGACCUUUUACUGAUUAUUUUUGAAGAAGGUGCAAUUCAUAUUUCAUACAUUUUAUCAGUCUCUUUUUUUCUUUAUUGGCCUGAAACAACCAAUAAACUAUUGUUAUUAUUUCUUAAUAUAAUUAUCAAUCAUGGCUCCUCUGUUUCUGUCCUAUCCAAAAGUUUUCUGAAGGGAGCAAUUUGUCCCAGAAUUUGGCAGCCUGGACAGCCUGAAGUUUAUACAAAUCCUCCUGUUGGGAAUGAAGUUUUGGCAGCUGAUAAAGUCACAUAGAGGCCCCACUUAUGUGCUGUAUGAAAUUCUUACUCUGCAUCUCUGGAAAUCGUAGAAUAUUUCUUUUCAUUGGCUGGGAACCCACAAUUUAGCACAUGUAUUAUGAACUCCAAACAAGGGCCUCUACCAUGCAUACAGCUGUGGCUGUGUCCCCCUGGCACAGGAGGUUCAGGUUUCCCUUCACCCUGUGGGCUUCUAGAAUGACAUCUCCCACCUUGUCCACGAGCAUCCUAACCCUGGUCACAGGCUCCAUCUCUCUUGUUGGAGGUGGUAGUUCUUUUUGUUUGUUUGCUUGUUUGUUUGUUUUUUUAAUGCCAAAAUUUAAAAUAUCUAUUGAACCAGAGAGACCAGAUGGGACUCCGACAUUUAAAUGUUAGUGAUUAAAGACUUCAUGCAUAGGUGAAGGGAGAACUGAGUGAACUGGGUUAUAGCCAGUAUUCUGAGAACAGUUUUACUGUUUGGCAUGAGAUAAAUCCUGGAUAAAAUAUGUGAAAUGCAAAAAUGAGAAAAGAUAUGUCUCACAGGAGGAAAAAUAUUUCACUUUUAUAAACGAAAUCAGAGGUAUUAUCAUAGUUCCCCGGUUCAUAUCAUUUUUUACAUAGUAUGCAGGUGACUUGCUUUUUGUGUACUAUAAUGCUGCAGUAGACUCUGAAAGUGUGAAACUGGAGCAAAUCAAACAAAUAAACCCAAAAUGAUUGAGACAUUUAACUGAUUCUACGUUUAUACAGCAAGUAUGAGAUUACUGUGAACACAGCCUACAUAGCUGUGAAUUUUUUGCAUGUGUUCUUUCAUUUUCAAGAGCAGAAAGUAGGAGGCAAGUUUAUUAAAGCUGAUAAGGGAGGUGGAGGAUUUUGCAGGAAUAUGCUUGAGCUCACUCACCUCUCCCAGACUUCCUUCUGUUAACUUUCUUGUGUCUCUACAAAUCCCAGAGGCUUUGGAGCUCAAUCCUUAGGCUGUAGUAGAGUAUUUAAGCAAAUAUUUUAAUAGCUUUUCAACUCUUGUUCAAACACAUGCAUUGCUCAGCAGCAGUUCAAGGGUUAAUAAAAACACACAAACAUAAUUUACUAUAAUUUUAUCAUUCAUGUAUAGAAUUAAGACAUUUUCAGCAACACAUAAGCCAUUUUGCAGUUCAUACAAUGUAGAAAAUGUCAGUUUAGGUGGCAAAUAAGUUAUGAAAACAUUGUUUUUCUCACAUGCUUUACACUGGAGGAUCUCAGUUCACCUUCUGUCAGGAAGGAGCAACAUUCUCGGAAGUGUCCCUUCAUGUUAGUGCUUAUUUAACUGCACACCUGGAGACUGCACAGCUCUGAUUCUUAAGCAAAGGAGACUUAACAGUUCAUGUUCUCUCUGGAUAUUUAGUUCUUUCUCCGAGGAAGGAGAGAAAAGGUUCUUAUCCAUCUUAAAAUUGGAUAUCCCAAAGUGAUAAUAUUUGAAAUCAAUGAAAAAAUUCACAUUCCUGUUAUGUUAGUUACAGAUCAGUAAACCCUCAUGACUGUUCCAUUAGUUUCAGCAAGUGCGGAAGUGCUCCUGAGCAGUUUGUGAAAAUAUUUUUAAAGUCAAGUUGCAUUGAAAUGCAACUGCUUAGGGAAUGAAGGCUAGGCACAGUAUAACCCAAAUGAGAAUUUGGUCUGGACAGAAUAGUAAGGAUUUAAAAUUCACUCUGGGCACUUUAAUGACUUUCCCUCAUUUACUUUAUGAUACUAGUGAUGUCAUUAAGAUCCUACUGCACAUGAAGUAAAUGGAAGGAAUCUACACAUGUGGGAGAACUAGGAGAACCUCAAAAGCAUGAAAGUCCAUGUGAGUUAUUUAAAUGUAUAUGCUCUUUACUGUGGGGUUGGAAAAAAAUAUGCAAGCAGCCACUCUUGAAACAUCAGAAAUUCUGCUUUCAGCUUCUCUUCUGGCAAUUCUGGAACUUCAUAUAGUUUCUGGUUUGAAUUUAAGGCUCUAGAUGAAGUUCAGAAGUGUCCCUAUUUCUUCCAAUUUGGCUUGUUCAGCUCUUUCACUUAAAUGAGUUUUUAUUGGUUUAUUUUGUAUGAGCUGAUGGCAUUGAUAAUAACUAAACAUCCUCAUUUGUUAUUUCUCUCUAAUAGACAUAUUCCCAAGUUAAAAGGCAGAUGCAAGUUUGAUAUAGCAUUAAUUUGCACAGCUCUCAUUAUUUUGUCUGAAUAGAUUAAACCCAAAACUCCAGAUUAGAAAACCUCUCCAGCAUGGGAUAAGUGUGGGCAGUAGUUCAGACUCACUUCUACUCAGUGUUAAAUCACGCAUUCUAUUUUUAAGAUAAAAUUUAAAGAAUCCAGUGGUUUGUUAUUUCAUGUGAAUAAAAGCUGCUGUAUUAUGAUGGCUUAAGUACAUGUCAUACCUUAUUCAGAUGUAUCCCCUAAGUGGUUUAUAUUUACUCUGUAAAGUUUAUCCCAUACAGAUUGUUUAUAUUCACCUCUGUUAAUGACAGAAAGUUUACCAAUAAACCAAAGACCUGUGCUUUCAGAUAGUUUAAGUCAAGGAUUUUUAAACAUGACUCCAAUUUAUAAUUCCUCUACUUCAAUACUGGAACAAGAUGGCUAAACUUAGGCAAGUAAAAAUCAUGUAAUGUUUCUGUUUAAUUUCCUUGGCAGUAGAGAUGAAACUUCUAGACUGAAAUGAUAUUGUAUGACAUCUGAACCAACAGCCUGGCUAAACAGUCUUUUCCUUCACUUUUGGCUGUCUGGAUCAAUUCUUUGAUGAGUUUGCUAACAAAGAGCAAGACUGAUUGUAAUCUAGAAUCAUAGAGUCAUAGAAUAUCCUGAGUUGGAAGGUAUCCACAAGAAUCAUAGAGUCCAACUCCAUCUCUACCAUGUUAUUUGUACAUGAGUGUAAUUCUACUGACUUUGGUUACUUUACUCCUGAUUUACACCAUUGUAAGCAAGGAUCUCAGUUCUUGUCCAUAUCAGCAGAUGCAUAUUUAACGUGAGGAUCGUGGUCACGUACCUGUAAACAAAGAGAGAAAUAAAAUCUUAUUCUGAUCACUUCUAAUCUUGGAGUGACUGUUUACACUGCCUAUUUAAAAAAGUAAUUUUAAGUAUAAUUCCAUAAAUAAUAAACACAGUAUUCCAGGUCCUUUUCCAGAGAGAGUAUAUUUAGCAAAAGGAAGGAAUGUUGAGGUCCACCUGUAAAAUUAUUUGUCCCUAUAAGAACAACAUGCAUAUGUUCUACAUCACAUUUGGGCCCAGUUUCUAUGGCCCAGAACCAAAGUAAACACAUUUUUCUGAUGUAAUUGUUGAUUCUAGUUGAAUUAGUGCAAUGCAGUCAUAGCUGUGAGAAACAUUUUAUUUGGACCAGCUCUUAACCAGAACUCAGAGAGGUUGCCUACCUGGCAAACCAGCAACAGUAGCUUGUUUUCACAAAGUUCUCCAAGUUUUGUACUCAGAGGAGCAUAUAAAAACAUUUUAAAGCAUGGGCUGUGGUUCUUCUCCAACUGACACUUGAGUAAAUCAGAAGUAACUACAACGAAGUCAAAUGCAGCCCUCCUAGUAUAUACGGGAUAGGCUUUAUGUUCGACUCCCUUGCUGUUUUCUACUCUGAUGUACUUAGCACUUUGAGGAACAUACUCAUAUCAUAGAAUCAUAGAAUGGUUUGGGUUGUAAGUGACCUUAAAAAUCAUAUAGUUCCAACCCCCCUGCCAUGGGCAGGGACACCUCCCAAUAGACCAGAUUGCUCAAAGCCCCAUCCAACCUGGCCUUGAACACCUCCAGGGACAGGCCAUAUACAGCUUUUCUGGGCAACCCUAGGCCUCACAACCCUCAGAGUAAAGAAUUUCUUCCUUACAUCUAAUCUAAGUCUACCCUCUCUUAGUUUAAAGCUGUUACUCCUUGUCCUGUCACUGCACUCCCUGAUAAAGAGUCUCUCCCCAAAUGUACGGUUUGGGGUCACAUACCAUGAUAGUUUUACUCCUCCCUUCAUUUCCCGAGUGCACAUGCUGGCCACCAGACCAAUGUGUACCAAUAGUAAUAAUAACUUGAUCUUACUAUCUGGAUGCUUUGCCAAAAAUGCCUACGUUGCACUAACUAGUUUGAAAUCAUACCAUUAUAUGCAGUCUAAACUGUCCUAAUUCACAUGCUUAAAAAAGGAGGGAAAGUAAGAGAGAAAUGUAGAUUUUUUUCAACCAGCACAGCAAUAGCAACUACUUUAUAAAUUAUAUACUUUUGAAGGAAAAAGAAUAAAAUUACAACAGAAAGAUAUUUUUUUUUCCAAAGUUUUAAUAACUACACAUCAUGUAGAUGUACUAAAGUCAGCAAAGCUCUCUGUUUUGACUUUGGGAGGCUCAGGGUUUAACUAAGUUUUAGAGGGAUAAAAAACCUCAUUCCUCUGAAGAUAGGUGUAUUAAUAAGUAAGCCAUAGGUAAGCAACUGAGGUUUGAGCAACCCAGGAAUAAACCCACAAAAAUGGUGUCUGACUAAAACUAUUUACAAAAUCAAAGUGCUAUUUUGUACAUAUUUUCUGGUAUGAAAGAGAUUGCACAUUCGAUUUACUUCUUUUUGUUUUGUUUUGUUUAAAUAUGGUUUAAAAUCACUUCUUAAACUGUAUCUUUCAAAACUAUUUUCAAUAUUUUAUUAUUUUAUUACUAUUUGCUAUUUAUUAUUUGCUGAUUU